UUCUCAAUAUAUGGAUUACAUUCUAAAAACUUCAUAUUCUAUGUCCAUUAUCCAGGGUUCAUGAUAAAUAAAUUUGGAAAGAUUCAGCAUUAGAAGAAAACCCACCAGGUGGAAGAAUAUUUUCAAGCCUCAAACAACUCAUGAAAUCUCUCUACUAAGCUGUAGAAGGCUCUGAUCUAUACAGAUGGAGGAGUCCCAACAUGAAAAUAUUUCAGUGAUUUCUGUGAUAUUAUGAAAUAACAACUUGCACCUUGUUUCUUCUGGGAGGUGACAGGUGAGCUGUACCCUUCCCUCACUGAGUGUUAAAGCAAGCCCUGGCUGAAAAUGGAAUGAAGCUUGCAUUACAAAACAAGUUUCCAACAUUCUUGGCCGCCUCUUAAUCUGAAGUACCCUUACAAAGGGAAAGCUACCUUGCCUGGGGCAAGAGAAAUCCUGCUUCACUGAGUUGAAUAUUGGGAUCACGUAAGGAAACUACUGAGGUGAUUCAUCAGAGCCUGAUCUUUCUGUUUCCCUUAAACCUCCU
Molecule: long non-coding RNA, 523 nt
Filed under: Phascolarctos cinereus (koala)
Lineage: Eukaryota; Metazoa; Chordata; Mammalia; Diprotodontia; Phascolarctidae
Description: lncRNA (ENSPCIG00000026553.2)
Source: RNAcentral